Molecule: long non-coding RNA, 610 nt
Organism: Mauremys mutica (yellowpond turtle)
Lineage: Eukaryota; Metazoa; Chordata; Testudines; Geoemydidae
Exons: 3
Source: RefSeq, a predicted model, not a curated record
GCGACCCAUUGUCAAAAAUUGUUAGGUAAUGGCAUCUUUUCAUUUUGUUUCUUAAAUUCUGAUUUGGUCAGGUACUUGAAGUGCACUUUGGGGGAAGAGCUGGCUAAGGAACAGGAGUGGCUGUAGUGGUUUCUGAGCGGUAGCUCACAAGUUGCACCCAGCAGAGAGAGACAGAGUGAUAAAACUGGGAGAAGUAAGUUUAAUGGUGAUGGCAGAGGAAACAGGACUUCUGGACCUUUCUCCUUCGCUCUGGCAUUGACUUGCUGUGUGACCCUGGGCAAGUCACUUCACCUUUCGGUGCCAUCUGUGAAGAUGACUGGAGAGAAGCUGUUGAAGGAUCUAAACAAGACCUACACAGCGUAGGAGGCAUGACAUAUGAGACCAACGUAGCCGUGAACAGCUCUCUGUACCAUUAGUUCAUACUAGUAAGACCUUCAUUAAACCUUGUUAAAAAUCGAGUUUGGCUUGAUUCUGUUUAGAAGCAAAACCAAACUCUCUUGAGUAGUUUUCCAAACAAGCACGUUUCUGUGAUGACCACGAAAUUACAAUCUGCUUCUCUGAUAGCACUUUUCUAACAGAGAGAUCUGUGUGUGUGCUGCAUUUGAUUAGG